This 253-nucleotide ribosomal RNA is filed under the name uncultured bacterium. Its description in RNAcentral is "partial 16S ribosomal RNA". It matches the Rfam family "Bacterial small subunit ribosomal RNA", at positions 524 to 776 of the family's 1533-position model. The record is from RNAcentral.
UACGAAGGGGGCUAGCGUUGCUCGGAAUCACUGGGCGUAAAGGGCGCGUAGGCGGCGUUUUAAGUCGGGGGUGAAAGCCUGUGGCUCAACCACAGAAUGGCCUUCGAUACUGGGACGCUUGAGUAUGGUAGAGGUUGGUGGAACUGCGAGUGUAGAGGUGAAAUUCGUAGAUAUUCGCAAGAACACCGGUGGCGAAGGCGGCUCUCUGGACCGAGACUGACGCUGAGGCGCGAAAGCGUGGGGAGCAAACAGG